Molecule: ribosomal RNA, 497 nt
Filed under: uncultured bacterium
Lineage: Bacteria
Description: partial 16S ribosomal RNA
Rfam family: Bacterial small subunit ribosomal RNA
Source: RNAcentral
GAUGAACGCUGGCGGCGUGCCUAAUACAUGCCAGUCGAGCGAACAGACGAGGAGCUUGCUCCUCUGACGUUAGCGGCGGACGGGUGAGUAACACGUGGAUAACCUACCUAUAAGACUGGGAUAACUUCGGGAAACCGGAGCUAAUACCGGAUAAUAUAUUUAACCGCAUGGUUCAAUAGUGAAAGACGGUUUUGCUGUCACUUAUAGAUGUAUCCGCGCCGCAUUAGCUAGUUGGUAAGGUAACGCCUUACCAAGGCAACGAUGCGUAGCCGACCUGAGAGGGUGAUCGGCCACACUGGAACUGAGACACGGUCCAGACUCCUACGGGAGGCAGCAGUAGGGAACCUUCCGCAAUGGGCGAAAGCUUGACGGAGCAACGCCGCGUGAGUUAUGACGGUCUUCGGAUCGUAAAACUCUGUUAUUAGGGAAGAACAAAUGUGUAAGUAACUAUGCACGUCUUGACGGUACCUAAUCAGAAAGCCACGGCUAACUACGUG